RNAcentral lists this microRNA precursor (97 nucleotides) under Equus caballus (horse). RNAcentral's name for it is "mir-544 microRNA precursor family". It matches the Rfam family "mir-544 microRNA precursor family". Lineage: Eukaryota; Metazoa; Chordata; Mammalia; Perissodactyla; Equidae. The record is from Rfam by way of RNAcentral.
AUCUCCUGGGGAUCUUAUUAAAUGCAGAUUCUGAUUCCGUAUGUCCGGGUUGGUGUCUAAGAUUCUGCAUUUCUAAUAAGCUCCCAAGUGAUGUUCG